This 352-nucleotide unclassified non-coding RNA is filed under the name soil metagenome. RNAcentral's name for it is "partial contains 5.8S ribosomal RNA, internal transcribed spacer 2, and large subunit ribosomal RNA". The stretch from base 1 to 120 matches the Rfam family "5.8S ribosomal RNA", at positions 35 to 154 of the family's 154-position model. The record is from RNAcentral.
GAUGAAGAACGUAGUGAAAUGUGAUAAGUAAUGUGAAUUGCAGAAUUCAGUGAAUCAUCGAAUCUUUGAACGCACAUUGCGCCCGCCAGUAUUCUGGCGGGCAUGCCUGUUCGAGCGUCAUUACAACCCUCAGGCCCCCGGGCCUGGCGUUGGGGAUCGGCGGAGCCCCCCGUGGGCACACGCCGUCCCCCAAAUGCAGUGGCGGUCCCGCCGCAGCUUCCAUCGCGUAGUAGCUAACACCUCGCGACUGGAGAGCGGCGCGGCCACGCCGUAAAACACCCAACUCUUCUGAAGUUGACCUCGAAUCAGGUAGGAAUACCCGCUGAACUUAAGCAUAUCAAUAAGCGGAGGA